CAGGAUGAACGCUAGCGGCGCGCUUAAUGCAUGCAAGUCGAGCGAUGAGGCUCCUUCGGGGGUACAUCAGCGGCAGACGGGUGAGUAACACGUAGGUGACCUACCCUCGAGACGGGGAUAACGGCUGGAAACAGUCGCUAAUACCCGAUAGACUUACCAGGUCAAAGCGGUAAGAAAAGCUACGGUGCUUGGGGAGGGGCCUGCGGCCCAUCAGCUAGUUGGUAGGGUAACGGCCUACCAAGGCGAAGACGGGUAGGGGGUGUGAGAGCACGAGCCCCCACAAUGGGACUGCGACACGGCCCAUACUCCUACGGGAGGCAGCAGCAGGGAAUAUUGCACAAUGGACGGAAGUCUGAUGCAGCGACGCCGCGUGAGUGAAGACGGCCUUCGGGUUGUAAAGCUCUUUUACGGGGGACGAGGAAGGACGGUACCCUGGGAAGAAGUGUCGGCUAACUACGUGCCAGCAGCCGCGGUAAGACGUAGGACACAAGCGUUAUCCGGAGUUACUGGGCGUAAAGCGCCUGCAGGCGGCCUGGUAAGUUGGACGUGAAAGCCCCGUGCUUAACGCGGGGAGGUCGGACAAUACUGCCAAGCUAGAGUGCGUCAGAGGGGAGUGGAAUUUCCGGAGUAGCGGUAAAAUGCGCAGAUAUCGGAAGGAACACCAGUGGCGAAAGCGACUCCCUGGGGCGCGACUGACGCUAAGAGGCGAAAGCUAGGGGAGCGAACAGGAUUAGAGACCCUGGUAGUCCUAGCCCUAAACGAUGGAUGCUAGGUGUGGGACGUAAAGUUCCGUGCCGGAAGCAACGCGAUAAGCAUCCCGCCUGCGGACUACGGUCCGCAGGUUAAAACUCAACGGAAUUGACGGCGACCCGCACAAGCAGGCGGAGCGUGUGGUUCAAUUCGAUGCUACACGAAGAACAUUACCUGGGUUUGACAUGUACGUGGUAGAGAAGCGAAAGCGGAUUGACCCUUCGGGGAGCGUACACAGGUGCUGCAUGGCUGUCGUCAGCUCGUGCCGUGAGUUGUCGGCUUAAGUCCCGUAACGAGCGCAACCCUUAUCCUUAGUUGCACGCAUCUAGGGAGACUGCCGGCGGGAAGCCGGAGGAAGGUGGGGAUGACGUCAAGUCAGCAUGGCCCUUAUGUCCAGGGCUACACACACGCUACAAUGGCCGGUACAAAGGG
Molecule: ribosomal RNA, 1182 nt
Filed under: uncultured organism
Description: bacterial SSU rRNA
Rfam family: Bacterial small subunit ribosomal RNA
Source: RNAcentral